This 264-nucleotide unclassified non-coding RNA is filed under the name Lecanorales sp. Its description in RNAcentral is "partial contains 5.8S ribosomal RNA, internal transcribed spacer 2, and large subunit ribosomal RNA". The stretch from base 1 to 71 matches the Rfam family "5.8S ribosomal RNA", at positions 84 to 154 of the family's 154-position model. The record is from RNAcentral. Lineage: Eukaryota; Fungi; Ascomycota; Lecanoromycetes; Lecanorales.
GUGAGUCAUCGAAUCUUUGAACGCACAUUGCGCCCUUUGGUAUUCCAUGGGGCACGCCUGUUCGAGCGUCAUUUCAACCUUCAAGCUUGGCUUGGUAUUGGGUCUGCCGCCUCCGGCAGGCCUCAAAGAUGUUGGCAGUGGGCGACCCCUGAGCGUGAUGGAUUCACGACGGAUGGGGCCGAUCCAUGGCCGAAAGUUUUCUUAGGUUGACCUCGGAUCAGGCGGGGAUACCCGCUGAACUUAAGCAUAUCAAUAAGCGGAGGA